This 790-nucleotide long non-coding RNA is filed under the name Mus spicilegus (steppe mouse). Its description in RNAcentral is "lncRNA (ENSMSIG00000026532.1)". The record is from RNAcentral. Lineage: Eukaryota; Metazoa; Chordata; Mammalia; Rodentia; Muridae.
CUGAAGCAAAAAUAUGAGAUGGUAGAGAGGAAGGAAACACUUGAGCCAGCCAGUCCACUGUUACCCUUCUAGCAAAGGCCUUAGAGGCGCUCAGAUCUUGUGAAUACUCUUCUCUUUCAAGGGCGGUGGGGGAGUUUGGGGUAGGAAACUAAAUAAAAAUUCAAAACAAACUGUGUAUAUAUAUACACACACACAUAUACAUACACACACAAGAAAAUAAAACAACAAAAUUUUUUAAAAAUCAAAGCCUCUCCAGAGCCACCUCAAAACAAAAUAGUUCUCUCCUGCUCAAGUGCAGGCAAUGAGCUAAUGGAACAAUUACUCUUCAAUUGAUUGUGUCUUUCUCUCCAUAUUUUUCUACUAUAGCUCCUACGCAGAGCGGAAGUAAAUAUUCUGGCUAUUGCCCCAUUUUGGAAGAGCUGGUGCCAACAUGGUUGACUCGCCUGCUAGCAGCAAGUGAAAACAACAGACCGCAUUGUAGUAGCCAAAUGCAGAGUUUCCAGUCAUCACUCUCACCUGGAAUCACUACAGGAGUCCCCAGUGGAGGUUUCACAGGACCUCAGGCCACACUGUGUUGCUCAUAACUCAACACAGUGUAUCUAACGCUUUGCUUCUUCUAUUGUUCCUGGAAUUUUUAAUCCAAAAACUCCCCAGAAAACCACUCACACUAGUCUGGCAAAGUCCAGUAUUUACAGUUCAGCCUGCUGUUGGUAAGUCACAAUUUCUCCAUUCUUUGAAGGCUUUGAGUUUUUGACUUUUAAGUAUCUAAUUAUUUUGUUUAAUGUUAAGA